GUGCCUAAUACAUGCAAGUCGAGCGAGCGGAACUAAACAGAUUUACUUCGGUAAAUGACGUUAGGAAAGCGAGCGGCGGAUGGGUGAGUAACACGUGGGGAAACCUGCCCCAUAGUCUGGGGAUACCACUUUGGGAGACAGGUGCUAAUACCCGGAUAAGAAAGCAGAUCGCAUGAUCAGCUUUAAAAAGGGCGGCGUAAAGCUGUCGCUAUGGGGAUGGCCCCGCGGUGCAUUAGCUAGUUGGUAAGGUAAAGGGCUUACCAAGGCGAUGAUGCAUAGCCCGAGUUGAGAGACUGAUCGGGCCACAUUGGGGACUGAGACACGGGCCCAAAACUCCUACGGGGAGGCAGCAGUAGGGAAUCUUCCACAAUGGACGCAAGUCUGAUGGAGCAACGCCGCGUGAGUGAAGAAGGUUUUCGGAUCGUAAAAGCUCUGUUGUUGGUGAAGAAGGAUAGAGGUAGUAACUGGCCUUUAUUUGACGGUAAUCAACCAGAAAGUCACGGCUAACUACGUGCCAGCAGCCGCGGUAAU
Molecule: ribosomal RNA, 531 nt
Filed under: uncultured Lactobacillus sp.
Lineage: Bacteria; Bacillati; Bacillota; Bacilli; Lactobacillales; Lactobacillaceae
Description: bacterial SSU rRNA
Rfam family: Bacterial small subunit ribosomal RNA
Source: RNAcentral